AGUGAUAUACCUGGGUCAAAUGGUGGUCCCAUUCCUAGUUUUUUGAGGAAUCUCCAUACUGCUUUCCAGAGUGGUUGCACCAAUUUGCAGUCCCAACAGCAAG
This 103-nucleotide microRNA precursor is filed under the name Marmota monax (woodchuck). The record is from RNAcentral. Lineage: Eukaryota; Metazoa; Chordata; Mammalia; Rodentia; Sciuridae.